UGUAGCUCAGUGGUAGAGCUCUUGCCUGGUAUGUGCAAGGCCCUGCCUGGGUUCAAUCCCCAGUA
This 65-nucleotide transfer RNA is filed under the name Heterocephalus glaber (naked mole-rat). It matches the Rfam family "tRNA", at positions 6 to 65 of the family's 71-position model. Rfam says of the family: Transfer RNA (tRNA) molecules are approximately 80 nucleotides in length. Their secondary structure includes four short double-helical elements and three loops (D, anti-codon, and T loops). Further hydrogen bonds mediate the characteristic L-shaped molecular structure. tRNAs have two regions of fundamental functional importance: the anti-codon, which is responsible for specific mRNA codon recognition, and the 3' end, to which the tRNAs corresponding amino acid is attached (by aminoacyl-tRNA synthetases). tRNAs cope with the degeneracy of the genetic code in two manners: having more than one tRNA (with a specific anti-codon) for a particular amino acid; and 'wobble' base-pairing, i.e. permitting non-standard base-pairing at the 3rd anti-codon position. The record is from Rfam by way of RNAcentral. Lineage: Eukaryota; Metazoa; Chordata; Mammalia; Rodentia; Bathyergidae.